This is a non-coding RNA of Pimephales promelas (fathead minnow), 461 nucleotides long. The record is from RefSeq and is a predicted model, not a curated record. NCBI's taxonomy places the organism in Eukaryota, Metazoa, Chordata, Actinopteri, Cypriniformes, Leuciscidae.
ACCAGAGCUGAAGCCGAAUGCUCUGGUGGCUGCCUGCACAAACAGCCUAAUUCAAUAAGGUGAUGUCUGUGUCAGCCAAUGCUUAUCUACUGAAUUCACACAAGGUGUCUGGGAGUUUGAACAGUGCUGGGCCGAGCAAGGUGGAAAGAUGACACCUGCCUUUCCAAUCCCUUAAGACAACAGAGGAGUCAAUAGCCGAAAGAGUCUGAAGCAAGAGUGCCUAUAGGCUCUGGUAAAGGAUUUGCAUCUUGAAUGGGUAACCUGCAGUUCUCCUCAAUGAAGACAUCAGAUCAAAGUUCAACCAGUCAAAGCCCUGCUAAAACGUUAAGGAGGCCGGCACGUACACAAAGGCACGGGAUGAACGGCAACUGCUGCCUCGAGAGAGGGAACUGCGGAUCCAUCCGUUGCCGAAAAUUCCACAGUUUACACCAUUGAUUUCCACCUGUUUCUUACAGCAUCUU